AGGAGAAACAUCUGAUCCGAGGUCCUGAUACAAUCCCAGGAGGAUAACACACAGCCUCCGGUAUACAUACUUUCUGAUGUCUUGAGAAAGGCUUUUACUAAAGGCGAAACAUCAACUUUGUGAAUAGGUUUUGAUGAAGCAUGAAUAAAAAGAAUUUCAAGGA
Bombina bombina (fire-bellied toad) is the source of this 163-nucleotide long non-coding RNA. RefSeq lists it as uncharacterized. The record is from RefSeq and is a predicted model, not a curated record. Lineage: Eukaryota; Metazoa; Chordata; Amphibia; Anura; Bombinatoridae. The transcript has 2 exons.